This 433-nucleotide ribosomal RNA is filed under the name uncultured bacterium. Its description in RNAcentral is "partial 16S ribosomal RNA". It matches the Rfam family "Bacterial small subunit ribosomal RNA", at positions 29 to 507 of the family's 1533-position model. The record is from RNAcentral.
AGCGAACGCUGGCGGCAGGCCUAACACAUGCGAGUCGAACGAACUCUUCGGAGUUAGUGGCGGACGGGUGAGUAACACGUGGGAACGUGCCUUUAGGUUCGGAAUAACUCAGGGAAACUUGUGCUAAUACCGAAUGUGCCCUUCGGGGGAAAGAUUUAUCGCCUUUAGAGCGGCCCGCGUCUGAUUAGCUAGUUGGUGAGGUAAAGGCUCACCAAGGCGACGAUCAGUAGCUGGUCUGAGAGGAUGAUCAGCCACAUUGGGACUGAGACACGGCCCAAACUCCUACGGGAGGCAGCAGUGGGGAAUCUUGCGCAAUGGGCGAAAGCCUGACGCAGCCAUGCCGCGUGAAUGAUGAAGGUCUUAGGAUUUUAAAAUUCUUUCACCGGGGACGAUAAUGACGGUACCCGGAGAAGAAGCCCCGGCUAACUUCGUG